Molecule: ribosomal RNA, 564 nt
Filed under: uncultured bacterium
Lineage: Bacteria
Description: partial 16S ribosomal RNA
Rfam family: Bacterial small subunit ribosomal RNA
Source: RNAcentral
UGGGGAAUAUUGCACAAUGGGCGAAAGCCUGAUGCAGCAACGCCGCGUGAGUGAUGAAGGCCUUCGGGUUGUAAAGCUCUGUCUUUUGGGACGAUAAUGACGGUACCAAAGGAGGAAGCCACGGCUAACUACGUGCCAGCAGCCGCGGUAAUACGUAGGUGGCAAGCGUUGUCCGGAUUUACUGGGCGUAAAGGAUGCGUAGGCGGAUUUUUAAGUGAGAUGUGAAAUACCCGGGCUUAACUUGGGUGCUGCAUUUCAAACUGGGAAUCCUAGAGUGCGGGAGAGGAGAAUGGAAUUCCUAGUGUAGCGGUGAAAGUGCGUAGAGAUUAGGAAGAACACCAGUGGCGAAGGCGAUUCUCUGGACCGUAACUGACGCUGAGGCAUGAAAGCGUGGGUAGCAAACAGGAUUAGAUACCCUGGUAGUCCACGCCGUAAACGAUGAGUACUAGGUGUAGGAGGUAUCGACCCCUUCUGUGCCGCAGUUAACACAAUAAGUACUCCGCCUGGGAAGUACGAUCGCAAGAUUAAAACUUAAAUGAAUUGACGGGGUCAUAGCUGUUUCCU